AGAGUAAGCGCAGGCGAUUACGGACUUGUUAAGAGUCUGAGGAAAGUCCGGGCUCCCGAAAGACCAAACUUGCUGGGUAACGCCCAGUGCGAGUAAUCGUGAGGAUAGUGCCACAGAAAGAUACCGCCUUUUUACAGUCAACCGUGAACAGUCAAUCUUUUGAUAACUGAUAACUGAUAACUGAUAAGGGGUAAGGGUGCAAAGGUGUGGUAAGAGCGCACCAGCAACGUCGUGAGGCGUUGGCUCGGUAAACCCCGGUUGGGAGCAAGGUCGGAGGAACUAAGGUUGGUCUUUUUCCCGUUCCGAUCAAAAGUGGUACCGCUAGAGGUGUUUGGUAACAGACAUCCCAGAUAGAUAAUCGCCAUCUAAAGCUGAUUUCAGCCUGGAUAACAGAACCCGGCUUAUGUCUGACUCUUUCC
This is a non-coding RNA of Planktothrix tepida PCC 9214, 419 nucleotides long. It matches the Rfam family "Bacterial RNase P class A". From Rfam's summary of the family: Ribonuclease P (RNase P) is a ubiquitous endoribonuclease, found in archaea, bacteria and eukarya as well as chloroplasts and mitochondria. Its best characterised activity is the generation of mature 5'-ends of tRNAs by cleaving the 5'-leader elements of precursor-tRNAs. Lineage: Bacteria; Bacillati; Cyanobacteriota; Cyanophyceae; Oscillatoriales; Microcoleaceae. The record is from Rfam.